AAAAUCAAAGUAGUUGUUAAGCAUUAGAUAAAAGCAAAAGUGACCAACUACAGCAACUGAGCAAAUUAUAUCUGCAAAUGGAAGGAAAAAAAAUAGAGAGGAAUAGUGAUGAACAAGCAAGCAUAAAAGAUCAAUGCACAUGGUAACUCAGAUGGCUAUAGAAUACAACAUCUAAACACAAAUAUUUCCUUCUAACUAACAAAUAUGGGAUUUACCAAUGCCCUCUUCACCUAUUAAGAACGUGCUAGUUAUCUUCUUUUCAUGUCACACAACAACCACAACGGAGAUGGAUAUUUUUCAUCAUAAGAUUAUGGC
RNAcentral lists this long non-coding RNA (315 nucleotides) under Salvia miltiorrhiza (redroot sage). RNAcentral describes it as "long non-coding RNA (SMIL_LNC008312)". The record is from RNAcentral. Lineage: Eukaryota; Viridiplantae; Streptophyta; Magnoliopsida; Lamiales; Lamiaceae.